GUCCGAUUGGUACAGCCUUUAUUGUUUCUCCAGCAUUUUCCAGAAGAACGGUGUCACUCGAGGGCCGCAGGGCACAGGGGGGAGUAAAAAAUAACAUAAACAAACUCAACAGAAACGCAGGAGGGUGGCAAGAGGGGCUGAGAUCAGGGGUCCGGGGCGGAGAGGUGGAGGACCCGGGGCCGUCAGAGCCUCUUAGCUUUCAGCCACCAGGACGGAGAAUUCUGCGAAAGACAACGACAAAGCAGUGAGCGAGAGUGGACAGCACGGAAGAGACUGGGCCCCUGCACCGGGCUUUCUCUCGGUUCCCACGUCUGCUGCCGAAGACCUGGAGUGAAGGCAGGAGUGAGUGUGGGAAUGAAUGAAUGAACGAAUGGAGAUGGGAAAUGACGAGCCUACCCUAUCUUUUGCUUCAUGGUGUCAUGAAGCAAAUUAUUAACAAUAAUAACUUAGUAUUAAAUUAUUAAGAACUACAAAUCAUCGUAUUAUUACACAAAUUAUUAAUGACUACCAUAAUACUAGCAAUGAUAAUUUUCUGAGUGUUUAUCGUAGGCCAGUCACGACUCUAAACACUUGAUAUACAUCUUAUUUGACUCUGACAAUAAUCUUAUAAUGUGCAUUUUAUCAUUAUUUCCAUUCUACUGAUGGGGAAACUGAGGCUCAGAGUCCGGCAAUUUUUACAAGGUCAUAAAGCUAGGAAGAAGCAGGGCCAGGAUGCAGACCCAGGUCUGUCCGACUUUGGACCGGGAGCCCUUUCUCACCUGGUCGUUCCCCAGCUGCCCAUCAGCAUCAGCAGCAGAAUCUGAGAAGACACAGGCUCCCAGGCCAUUGUCCCGGAAUUGACGUAGGAGGGCUGGAGGAGGGGACGACUACUUUAUUGACUGAAAGGUGAUUCUGGUGAGCGGCCAGGUUCAAGAACUUCCUCCUCAGGGACCCAGCAAGACCCCAGAGGAGCCCCGAGCACGUGGAGACCUCUCCAUGCUGCCCAGAGGGCCGGGCGCGUACAGGUGCUGGGAAGGAGUUGGGCUCCGUCUCACCAGCUCCUCACUUAACGCUCCUGACAGACCCUCAGGUCAUGGGGAGUCAUUGUCCCCAUUUUACAGAAGGGAAAACUGAGGCCAGGAGAGGAGAAGUGACUUUCAGAGCCUCAAGGAUUAUAAGUGGCUGAGCCGGGAGUCAAGCCCUGGGGCCCAGGCUCCUCCCCAUGGGCCUGCCUUCAAGGCCACGGUGGGGGAGGCCGGGUGCUCGCCUGCCCCUGCCUCCCCAGUGGUGUCCGUCCGCCAGGCUUCACCUCCUGCUGAUUAAUGAUGUCAGAGACCAGCAUUGGCACUAGGGGGCAAUUGAGUCCCUCUCGUGGAUCCAGCUCCUCCUGAAGGAACAAAGGAAUGGCCUGAACCGGGUGAGGGGAGACAUGGGUAGCAGGAGAUAGUCCCUGCCCGGCAGGAGCUUCUGGUCCAGUCUGAGAAGAAGACCAUAUCUGGCAGGAAGUGCUCCACGCUGCGAGCCUUCCUCUGAGCCCCCAGCACGCUGAGUGCAUUCCUACCUCAGGAUCUUUGCACCUGCUGUUCUCUCCGCCCAGGACACUCUCCAGACUGUCUCAUGGGCCAGCUGUUUCUCACCUGGUCUCAGCUCGAGUGUCCCUCUUCCAGGGGCCUUCUCUGACCACUCUGGCGAAAGUAGUGACCUGCCUGACUGGGGUCCUCGUUGCUAUGACCAUUUUUUGUUAUAUUCACAGCACUUAGCACCCUGCAAAUAAUUUUGAGUACAUGUUGCUUAUUCCUUUGUCGUCUGCCUCUCUCGUUGGAACACAGAGCUCCCACCCGCCUUGUUCAUGCCUCCAUCCCACCACCUGGCUCAGCACCAGACACCGAGGGGCCACUGUGUCCGGGAAAGGAUGAGGGGACACAGAGACUUGUCUUUCCCAGGGAGAAAAGCUGCCUUCUGAGGAAGCAGCGAAGCCUUCAGAGGGAAGGUGGGUCUGAGAGAGUCCCUGAGAAGAUGCAGGAUUCCCACAGCAAGAAGCAGAGGGAGGAAGGGACUGAGGUGGGGGCCUUCCACUGUCGAGGCCCAGAGGGCAGGAAACAGUGGGGUGUAUUUGGGAAAGACCCGUAGCCAUGCUGGGCUGGCGUCUUGUGUGACGGGACUGGCACAGCUGAAGAAGCCUGGGCCUGAAAUCUGGCUCUCCCACUUACGGGCUGUGUCACCUCAGAAAAGGCGCCUGGCCUCUCUGAGCCUCCUCCUCAUCAUCCGUAAAAGGAGGAGAAGUCCGCUCCGCUUCUUGGGUCGGAGAUGGUCAGAAGAGACGUGUCCUGGCCCACAGGAGGUCCUCGGCUCCCGCCGUGAGCUCCUCUGCCCGUUUCCCAUGUCCUCUCAACUGCAGGGUCCUUACUGUGGCGGUCAAAGGGGACUGCCCAGCAGCCGGCUCUUCUGAGACCUUUAUUUGGAAUCAAGGGGGUCCAGGGAGGGUCUUCUCUGUUGUUUUUCUCUCCAGGAGACGAGAGAGGACAGAAGGAGUUUGCCACCCUCUGCCACUGUGUGUCUCUGAGAUGCCAUGUCCCCUCCCUGCAGCAGGGGCCCCAGGUAAGUCCCCAUGGCCUCUAGAAGAUGCAUUGUCAUAAUGUGGGGACAGCACGGGGAGGGGGGCAGUAUGGAGAGUUGGGGUCCAGGAGCAGCCUUGCCCUACUAGGUGGGAAAUGUACCUCUCGGGCAUCACUUCCUCCACUGGUCAGUGGAGUGAAGUGAGGGGGCAGUGACAAUUCCUUGUGAGAGACAAACAAGACACUGGAUGUGAAGUGGCUUCGAAAAGGCUGUAAAAAGUAUCUGGGGCUCCCUGAGGUUCGCCCCACCCUCCCAGAGUCAGUAUGAAGCACUUACGUAAAAACCUCCCGGUGUGAUUUCUUAGUUCUCACUAUUGGACCAGGGUCAUGUAAAUGUUGGCCUUAGGGAUGCUGGGAGAAGGGCAUCCAGAAUUCUCUGGGCUAUUGUUGCAACUUCAGUACAGCUAGAAUUAUUUCAAAAUAAAAGAGGGAAAAAACAAAACCAAAUCCGCCCAUGCUGUCGUCAUGGAAAUAACCUGGCGCCGACCCCCGCCGGGUGGAGGACAUGUACCCCGGCUCCUCACUUUUCUGGGGUUUGACCUGGGAAAUGGACACCACCCUCUCCUCUCCCCAGGCUGUCCCUGAGGACAGGAAGGCAGGUGACCCAGAUGUGGGGGCCUAGGCAUGACUCCAGGUGGGAGAGAGGGAGGGUCCCCCAGGGUAGCGGGCUGAGUGGUAACAGUGAGUGGCAGGGAUGGGGCCCUUCUAACAGCCCGCCCCUCGGGCCAGGUGUCAGAACAUCUGCUCUCUCAGCCUCGGGCUCCCAUGGUCCUGCAGACCCUGACUAAGGCAGCUGGUUCUUUUGAGAUGCUUUUUUAUCAUUAGUACUUUGACGAGUAUUGUCCAUUGUUAUAGAAUUUAAGAAUCCUUAUUCCUUGAAUGCCUACGUGGGAAGUGUUUUGCAUUUAUUAUCUCAUUAAAUUCUCACGACUACUCCAUGGGAAGGACACUCUCGUCUGCACUUUACAGUUGGGGAAACUGAGGCCCGAGAGUUAAGUAGCUGGACCAAGAUCACCCAGUGGACAUGAUUCAAGCACGAUGCUCCCAGGCUUCCUUCUUUACCCCGGACGUUUCUGACCUACUGUAACCUAGGUGGAGAGUGACUCAGGAGCCGGCUCAGAUAUCGCCAGCCCCUGACUGUCAUAUUAGCCCUUUUUAAUUCGCUUCAUGGGACUUAGUGCUCUCUGAAAUGAUCUAAUUUAUGUACUUAGUUGUUUUUGUUGGUCUCCCCUACUAGAAUGUAAACUCCAGGAGGGCAGGGAGCCCUGUCUGUCUUGUUCACCACUCUCCUAGCACUGGCAUAGGCCUGGCGCAAAGCACGUGCUAGUGAACGAAGGCCAGAUGGAUGGAUGGAUGGACGGUCGGACGGAUGGAUGGACGGAUGGACGGACAGACGGACAGAUGGAUGGAUGGAUGGAUGGAUGGCUCAUGAGUCCUCCUGAGGGUUCAACAAGUACCCAUUUACCUCAUAUAAUUUUCACGACAGUCCUGGGGGGUAAGUGGGACGAUUCCCAUUUUAUAUCUGGGGAGAUGGAAGCCUGGAGAGGGGACGUGUCAGGGCACGUGGAUAAUAAGAGGCAGAGGCAGCACUCGGCCUGGGGUCUCAGGACAGCCCUCCCUGGAUUCGCAGAGGCCACGUCCCAGAUUGGGUGGGAGCCUGAACUCUCUCCAGCUUCAACCUGCCAUUUAAUCCAGGACACUGGGCCACAGCCGGUCUCGCCUGUCCUUGGGCACCGAGCUGCUCUGUCCUGGGAUAAAGGAGGCACGAGUCCGUCCUUGAUGCCAGCUCACGGAGAGAUUAUCAACAGAGGAAGUUGGUCCUGACGGUUUCCCGACCUGCGCCGACGUCCCUAACACUCACCCUAGAAAUUACGGGUUCUCGGGCUGCUCAUCAGCAAAGAGCCCAUUAGUCACUGAGGCAUUUGGUGCUGUCAGCGUGAGAGGGACCAAGGGACGCUGACCAAGGGACCCUCUGGUGCUGAAAAGUCAGGCAUUUUGGAGCCUGACUAUGGGAGAUGUUUUGGACCUGUGGGGUUUUUGAAAGCAGCCCCCUCCGCCCCUGGGGUCGGCCCUGAAGCAGCCAGGAUGUCACGAUGGCCUCGUGCCCUGGCUUUCUGCAGAGAACGCAGGAUUCUAAUUUUAUCCUCCCGGAACCUGGAGCAGGGCACUUUGUAGACAAAUUGAGGACAGAGGUCACCUACUCUGUACUUUCCGUGUCUCCCUGAGGGCAGAGUGCUUAGGAAGCAGUCAAUUAACGAACAGCCCUCCCAUCAAAAAACAUCUCCUCUAAAACAUCCAGGUCUCUCCUUAAAGAAAAACAAAUGAAGAAACGUACCAAGACUCUGUAAAGUCUAGGUCCACCAAUUUGGCGGUAGGAUGCUGGGAGGGGAAUGGGGCAUCGAGGGUGGGGUUCUAGUCUUGGCUCUGCCAUCCACUCAAGUCCAUGGACAAGACACCUCACCCUCCGGGUCCUGGUUUUCUCAUCCGUGCAGUGUCGGGUCUAGAACACAGCUCUCCAGCUCUCCCACAGCAUUUGGAGCAAGGAGGCUGAGAGUGAAUUCCCAACUCCCAUUCUUGCUUCUGUGACCUUGGACUAGAUCCUUUACCUCCUUGUGCCUCAGUUUCCUCAUCUGUAAGAUGGAGCUCCUUGGGGUGCUCAGAGGAAGCAGCCUUAAAGCUCUGGGUCACACGCCUGAUACACAGCCAGCACUCAGCCUUUGGUACCCGUUGUUAUCAAGAUGCUUCUAUAGUUCCAGCCACCUUAAAACCAAGCCUAUAAGAUGCCUGGCCACUGCCUGGCACAGAGCGAGGACCCUGCAAAUGGCAUGGUACCUUUAUUUCUUGGCCUUGUCAUUGUUAUCCCCUGUCAUUUCCUGUCCCCGCCCUGGCACCUGCCAGCAACCUUCCAGCAGCCCUGGGGCUGGGUCUGAAUCUUGUUUCAUCACCUCCUGGCUGGGUGGCCUCAGAUCACUACUUUACCUCUCUGAGCCUCAGUUUUCUCAUCUGCAAAGUGGGUAUGAUGCGGCCUACUUGCACACCUCUGGGGAAGAUGAGAUGAGAGAAUACAGAGAGAUGCCUGGCAUACAGUAGGUGGUCUAUAAAUGUUAGUCUCGCCUCCCUUGUGUCUCCUCAGCACAACUGUCACAGGUUGGGGCUUUGAAAUAACAACAAUAUCCAUAAAAAUCCUGAAACGAAGACAAGGAGGAUGUAAAGAGCCAGCGGACACGGGAAGCCUAAAGGACCGGCAGCUGAGCUCGUGGAAGUUUCUGACGCUGUCUAUCGCAUCUGAGUCAGGAUCGCCCCUCCAGCACACCCAUCCGUGGAAACUUAGUCUCUGACCCUCAGUUUCCACAUCCGUAGAAUGGGGAUAUGAGAGCACCUGCUGUAGGGUUGUAGUGAGGACAGCAUGGGAUGAUGGAUGAGAAGUGCCCAGUACAGUGGUGCUGACAGAGGGUCACGCUAGAUCAAUGCUCACUGCUGACGUGCGAGGGAGAGUGCCCCUCUGGAGGGACCCAGCGCCCUUCCUCCUAUGAGCACCCAGGCACAGCCCUACCUCUGCAUGGACGCCUCACCCGAGGCCCCCGGGGCCAGUUUGCUGGUUUCUCCAUCAUCCAAUCAGAGAGGUGAGAGGUAGGGAUGGGGGGAGGGAGCAGCCGAUGGAGGGUCAGAGGAUGGGAGGACUCAGUCCUUUCCUUUCCCUUAGGAGACUGAAAUUAGCCUAAUUAGGUCUGUCCCAGUCCUGGGUGCUGUGGGAAUGGACAAAUUUAGAAGCUAUUGACAGGUGAGCCCAGCACACGCUGAUAGCCUGAAAUGAAACUGAGACAGACAUUAGUCAGCGCCUGGAAGGCUGCUUCCUCCCCUCUGUCGUGAUGACCAGACAAGGCACCGGUCUGCUGGUUUAUCACCUCGCCUCGAAAUAGCUCCAGGGCUGGGCUUCUUAUAAAUCCGUAUUGCAAAGAGGGAUCACUUUCCCACCCCACAGAACCGGGAGGCAGGGUCAUUCGGGGUCGAACCAGAGGGCAUCAACAGUUCCGGGGGCUCACUGUGUGCCAGGCACUGCCCUGUGUGUCAUCCCAUUUCAUCCUUGCCAGCUCUCUUACCCCCAUUUUACUUACAGGGAAACUGAGGCUCAGAGGCACUCAGCCAGGAAGAUUCUGACUCAGGCGUGGCUCAUGCCGGGGCGAGUCUCUUUCUUAGAGGUUGGAGUGGAAGCGCCCUGGGUUCUGACUUGAGCCGUGACCCCCCCAGAGGCAGGAAGGGAUGUCACCUGCCCCCACUACUGCUCCUCAUCACAGGAGGGGAGUUAUGUGAGCAGGGCCGCCCCUCCCCCUUUGCCAGCCUCAUCCAGCGCAGCGGAAGGCCGCAGUUAGGGGGAGUCCAGGCAGGAAUUAAGGCGAGCAUCCUGCAAAGCACAGCAACCAUUUACAACUCGAGGAUCUCAACUCAGCUCGGGGGAGGGAGUGGCAGAGUCAGGAGACCCAGGUGCCAUUCGGCCAAGGUUUGCUAUGUGACUUUGGCACUUCAUGUCUACUGGGCCUCAGUUUCCACAUCUCUCAGUGGGGCUCACAGGCUCUGUCCCCUGAUCAUAGGGGGCCGGUGUGAGGGUACAGUGAGGUGGAACAGAACGCUGCGCACCUUAGGGCCCUGCCCUCAGGACUGCGGGCUGGCCCCAGUAUGCUCAUCCUGCCCUGCUUGGAAAUCAGAUCGCACAGGGGCCGGAGGGCUGGCAUUACAGGGAGGCGGCAGGGCUCCCCUGCCCUCCUGCUCACUUUCCUCCCAUCUGGGACUCGAUUUCCUUUUCUUCCGGGACUGGUGUUCCAGUACUUCCUAAGGGUUUUGAGGGGGCUUACAAGAGAAAGCAUACAUACAAAGGAAGAGGAGAGGAAUCAUCUCCAGAACGUUCACUCAGUUCAAGCAGUACCCCUGUGAGGGGUGUUCCUACCCCGCUCUGGGGUGAGGGGAUGGAUGCCCAGAGAGGAGAAGCCGUGGCAGCUCACAGGGCUGGCAGCACGCCUUCUGCCCUCCCGCGUUCAGGUGUUUAAGCCUCAGGGCUCCCUCGCUCCCCACUCCUGCCCCUGUUAAAUAGGCUACUUAAGGAUAAAACAGAAGGGAUUUUGCCAGAAGGAAGCAGAAAAGAUGAAUGCCUUCAGGCACGUGAGUUGAGCAGCCUGCAACGGUCAGGCAAUAAUUAUGACUAAAUUUUGCAGCAACGGAAGCAAAAAGCAAACCACAGGAUCUCGAGCUGGAAGAGGCUUGAAGCGUAGGAAACUGGAUCUGCCGCCGGGAUCGGGUUUCAGGGAACCGUAACCAGGAUGGCGUGUGUGCGUGCGUGUGUGCGAGGGUAUGGGGUGUGCAGAUCUUGUCUACAGCAAGGUGGGGAAGGGGGGUGCUAUUUGGAGCCAGAGUGUCAAGGUUUGAAGCGGGCCUGAGUGCUGAAUAGCUGGGUGAUCCUGGGCAAGUGGCUCCCCUUCCCUGGGCCUCAGUUUCCUUGUCUGUCCAGUGUGGGUGUAUUUUGUGGAGCUGCUGUGGGGACUGCCUGAGCUAAAAGGGGGAAGGCCGUGUGCAGCCCCUGGCACACAGGAUGUGCCCGGGGGUGGUAACUGCUCUUCCUGCCAGCCUGCAUGUUCCAUGCGGGCAGGCGUUGGGUGUGGAAAGCCCAGGCUGGGGACACGGGCCCACGUGAGAGGCAAGGAAGCACAGGGUCCUGGCUCUGCUCCUGAGUGACUCUAGGCAUGUUACUUAACCUCUCUGUGCCCCGGUUUCCUCAUCUGUAAAACAGGGAGAGUGAUGGCAUCCACUUUCUAGGAUUAUUGUAAGGCAGUGGUUCUCAAAGGGUGGCCCCGGGACCAUCAGCUCCACCUGGGAACUUGGUAGAAAUGCAAGCGCUUGGGCCCCACCCCAGACUUAAGGAAUCAGAAACUCUGGGGUGGGGCCCAGCCAUCUGUGCUGUGAAAAGCCGGGGGGUUCUGACGCUGGGCCCUGUAUGUGAGCCACCCUUGUGAAGGACAAGUACUCAAGAAGGAACCUGCCACUUAGCAGUCUCGCCUGCUAUUUGUGCCCAGUUUUGCAACUGUGGCUGGGUUUUUGGCUACCUUCCACCUCUGUCCAGCUUCUGUCUCCUUUUCUGCCUUAAAACCCCCUUUUACCAGCUCUGCCCCAGCCUUUCAAGGGUGGCCUUCCAGAAUCAAUCGACCACAUCUGUAAACGUCUUUGCGCUUCCUGGAAGCAGUUGCCCCAGAGACGGGAAUGCAAAGGGUCAUCAGGAGGACUUUGUCUUUCUGCCCCUUCCCUUCCAUCUUGGGCCCUGAAGGGCCUGGCAAAUAUCACUCACCUUCAGAAGGGCAAACAGCUGGGGAGGGAGGCAGACCCUGCUCUGGAAUCCCCCAGCACCUGCUACACGCCAGCACCCAGCCCACACGGGUCUGCAGCCUUGACCUGCAGACCUCUCCCUGUGUACCGCACCUCCUCAUCAUUGGAUCUCCAGAGCUGGACACAUAUUCACUCAUUCAUUCAUUCAACAAACUUUUCUUGUGCCCCUCCUAUGUGGCAGGGCUUAUUCCAGGUGUUGGGGUCAGAAUCAAACGAAACAAAGUUCCUGCUCCCGUGGAGCUGACGUCCCAGUAGGGGAGAAAGAAGCAUCAGUGAAUAAGAAAAUCAUCUCGUGGUGGAUGCUUCCUAAACUCUGAAUGAAGCAGGCAGCAUAGGCCAUGUGCUUUGGAUCUGGACAGACCCGAACUCAGAUCUUGACCUUAUCUCUUCCUAGGCAUGGGAGUUUAGGCAAACCCUUAACCUCUCUGAGCCUCAGUGUCCUCAUCUGUAAAAUGGAGACGGUAACAGGAUCCGCCUCACAGAGAGCUAGGAGGAUGAAAUGAGUGACUUGCUAAGCCGGGUGCCUGGCUCACAGUAACAGCUCCCCCAGGUUAGGUGUCAUUGCUAUUGAUAUUCAAGGUCACACGGCUGGGCCAAAGGGCAGAGCUGGUCCUGUCUAGAGGUUUAUUCACUGGGACAUCCAGGGCAUCUCAGAGCUGGAAGGGACCCCUGUGACUGGCGGGUGAUUUGACCCCUGGUUUUAAAGAGCAGGCACCGGAAGGUCAGAGGAGCUCUGUGACUUGCCCCAGGUCCCGCUGGGAGUUGAAGGCAUCCUCCAGCUGGUGGGCAGGGCUCCGGCCCUUUGGCCUUUAGAGGGAGAGGCGGCAAAGCCGAGCGCCUGGAAUAGAAUUUCCUGGGCCCACAAAGGGCUCUGCCUCCCAUCUUGCUGCCUGUUGGGCAUCAUCACAUCCAUCCUGCCCAUCAUCCUCCAGAAAAAGGACUGUGUUUGGGGGUGGCAGUGGGGAAGGGGAGGUGUCUGCAUCUUCCCACCCCAGAAGCACAAAGAGUGGGGCCCCACUGCCUCGGGCGAUCUGUUCUUAUUGCCCAUUUCUUCUCUUGCUCCCCUGUUUUGUUCUGGCCUGACCUCCAGUCCUUCACCAGGUCGGCCUGAGCCUGGACGGUGCUGGCAGACAGACCUGGGUGUCAGUCCAGUGACACCGUGGGUACUGGAGCCCUCUUUCUGCUCCUCUCUUUUCUGCACCUUUGUCCUCUGUCAUCCCAAGGUCAAAUGGGGUGACGUGUGCAGACCCCAGCAUGGGGCUGGGCACACGUUCCAUGCCCUGCUACAAUUCUCUCUCCGCUCCCACCCCCAGCAAACCAAUCUUCCUGCCUCUUUCUAAACACCCCUGAACUUCCCAGCCUCAGUGUCUUUGCUGAUACCAACCAGCCUGCACCUCCCUCCUUGGCCGCUGCCAGCCUGCAGACCUCCUGCCCACGGCCUCCAGAGCUGCAGGAAUGCCCGCUGUCUCCCCCUCCACAGAGCUCGUCUGGACCUCCCGGCCUCUGCCUGGGACCCCUGUUCAUUUGUGUCUAUGCACAGAGCUGCCAGCAACAUGCAGACAGAACGGGAUUGCAGCUGCCAUUUGUGGGGCGCUUGUGGGGCACUGGGCUCGACACUCCCAUACAUUGUGUCCUGGAAUCCUCGACAAUCCCAGGGAGGUAUGUGUUGUCCUACCCAGUUUACAGAUGAGGAAACCGGGGCUCAGGGGCACCCAGCCGGGAAAUGGUGCCUCUGGGAGCUGGGCCUGAUUCAUCUUUAUCUCCCCCACUGCCCGGCACAGGGUCGCUACUCAGUAAAUGUCGGUUGGGUCUGUUGGAAGAGCUGUGUUAGCUCUUUAAGAUCUGAGCAUGGCAGGGAGGGAGGGAGGGAGGGGAGCAGGGAAGUGGCCAGGAUCUGGCCUGGUUUUUCUUCAUCGUGGAGUUAGUUGCUCAUGAGCAGUCAGCCAUGAAGACCCUGCCUAGGGCUUCCGAGCUGUGACAUAUUGGCUGCAAAUAAAAAUGGGAGGCAGGUCUGGAGGCCUGGGCUGGGGUCAUGGCAGGAACCCAGGCUCCGGGAGAGCUAUCUGAUAAGAGGCUUGGUGAGGAUGGGGGUGAGGGGUGAUGGGCCACUGACUGGAACAAGACCAGCCAGCAAUUUCUCUCUAGCACCCUCUGCUCCGGCUGUUUUAAAACCACCUCCCUCCUUCCCAGCCAGGAGAAGGGCAGGUGGCAUCGGAAGGCCAGAGGACUGGCUGCAUCUGACCUUGCUGGAAUUUCUGGCAUUAAACUUUAAUACACUACAUCCGUAUUUAGAAUCCUUGUACCUACCUUUCCCAAAGCAAUUUUGUGUCUAUAGCCACUCAAUUUUCACAACAAGCCCUAGCUGGUCUUAGGAUAAAGCUGUGCACCCUAUUUGCCAGAGACAAGAACCUCAGUGUGGUGAGGUGACAUGGUCAAGGUCACAGCUGGUGACGGGCAGAGAGGAAGCAGAGCCUGAGGGCACUGGACUUUGACAGAUGUUUACUAAGUGCCUGCUUUGGGUCAAGUAAGGGCUAAAUGCUGGGGAUAAAAGGAUGACUACAACCUAGUCCCUAUUUUUUAAAAUUUAGUUAACAAACACAUACAUAGCACUCUCUCUGUGCCGGACACUAGUGUAAACACCUUACACGCUGACACAUCUAAUUCUCAAGACAAUUCUGUAAGAUAAGAAUGAUCAUUAUCCUCAGUUUGGAGAUGAGAAAACUGAGGCCCAGAGUAGUUUCUUGAAUUGCCCAAAGUGACACAGCUAGAAAGUGGCAGGGCUGGGAUUUGAACCCAGACAGCCUGGCCCAGAGGCCUAGCACUGACACACAGUUUUCUCUUAGAUUGACAGCAAGGACUAUCACGGGAAUGAACGCAGCAAAGCAUGUUGGAAAGAGUUUUUCAGACUUGGCUCUGAAUCUCUGCUCCACCACUUAUGUCCCAGCUCUGAGAGCAGGGUGAGCAUCUUCAACCUCAGUUUGCCUGUCAGCAAAAUGGAGAUAACUCCCAAGCACGUGGUGAUGCUAAGAAAGAUAACAAGACUGAGAUGUGCCCCGUGAAUGCUGGUUAGAUCUGAAUGGAGAAGGAUGUGGGACGGUGGACCACCAGCCCCUCACCUGUUCCGAAAGCAAAGCUUGCAAAGCAAGACAGGGCCAGAUAUUCCGUUUCCUAGUUCGCAGCUGAUUCCUGGCUGGCUGUGUCUCCUGGCUCCCUACAAUGCUGGAAUUGUAUAUUUGGGCGAAGCCAAAACAGGUUUUGAGACUUGAAGUUAUAGGACACCAGGACAAGAUACUGAGGGACAUGGGAGAUAAGGAAUUUCCAUCCCUGGAAUCUGAGAACGUGAGAGCCGGCAGGGUCCUUGGGAAUCAGCUGGCCUCAUCUCCUCAGGUUACAGAUGGGAGACUGGGGCCCAGAGAAGGAGAGAGACUGCUCAAGGUCACACAGCCAGUUUGGGCAGAACCAGGACCAGAACCCAAGGAAAGUGCAGGCAAAGUUCAGGGAAGAUGCCAAAUUCUCCCAAAUUCCCUACGCAGUAGGGAGAAAAAAAAGGAUCUCUUCCUUCUGGGUUGUUCAAAUUUAGAAAAAAAUACCUGUUUCUCUUUGCCUGGCUUUCAUGACAGAGCACACAGACAUAAUGGAUUGCCUUUUUCUUCUAAUCUUGGGGACUGUGGGAUCCCCACCCUUCCCUUUCACGGCAGACACAGCUCUGAGCUUUUAGCACCCAAAUAUCCGAAGAUCCACGAUGUGCCCAGGCCCCAAGUCACGGCUACUCACCGUCGGCCCCAAUCUUGCCGUCCCCAUCCUUGUCUCCAGCAGCCAGCAGCGUCUUGGUUUCCUUAGUAGUCAGGUCUCGGGCAUCCGGGAGGAAGCCCUUCAGGAUGAAUCUGGGGAGAGAAGCCGGGGAGGGAGUCAGGUCAAGGUCACCUUGCAGGAGCGCCGCACGGAUGGUGGGCUGGCAUCUGCGCAGGGGAAGUGGGCAGCUGGGCCGGGCGGCAGCAGCCAGCAUGCAUGCAGCUGUGCUGAGCCAGGUAGCCCGGGCUGUGGCUGUGCCUUUGUGGGUGGGUGUGCAGGGAAGGACAGGCUGUCCUCACCGGAGGGUUGACCUCACUCCAGGCAAGGAGUUUUGUUUAUUUUUUUAUCUGUUUAUUUUUUCAGCCAACACAACAAACACAAAAGUGUCUUCUCUGUGCCAGGGCCAUGCUGGAAACUGGGGGCACAGAGAUGAUCUCAGGAAGCUGCCUGAAAACAAGAAGAGGAGGUCAAGUACUCCAAGACACCACACAGUGUGAGGGAUACAGUGAUGGGGAAGCAGAGAAGGUGCACAAAGGAGGCAUCCAUCCCACCUGGGGUGAGGGGAAGACUCAGGGGGGCUUCCUAGAGAAGGGGAUGGCUGGAGGGCAGGUAGAAGUCAGCCUCUGUGUGUGUGUGCACAUUGGGCGUGGGUGGGUAGAAGGAGAAGGUUCUAGACAAAGGGUACCCUUGUGGGAUGCUUUGGGAUGAGAGUGGAUGGAUGGGGAAGUGUCUACUUGAAAGGCCCCUCUCCACACUCUCCCCUUUCUCUUUGUGGCAAAACUCAAGGCAGUCUUGGCCAGAGAGUGACAUAAGGCACAGCUGGGCGGGCAGACACAGGCCAGGUGGCCAAGGGGGUGAUGGCAGGAGGUUCCUUUGCUGAUGCACUCUUGCAUUUUCCUGUCAUAGGCUCUCUCCCUCAGCUCUGCUCCCAGGACUCCUGAGUCCCCACAGCUGGUUCUGCAUCCCUGGCUUGCCCAGAAACUGCUCUGGCCGCCCUGGUUCGGAAGGGUGGGGGUCUGCGGGAUGGCAAAGGUGCCUUUCAGACAAAUGAAAAUCAACGACAUACUCAAGCAAGCGCUCUCUGUCUUGCCUGUGGUGUUAGGCAGCGAGAAAACCUGCCUCCUCAUUGGUAUUAAAUUAUUAAGUAGCAUCAUUCCAUUAGCAAUAUUAAGUGCCUAUAAUUUAACCCAGUUAGUUGCACUUUCUGCUGAGGAUUUUACCCUUCCAGAAGCGACAGCGGCCGUGCUCUGUUAUUUUCUGUGAAAAGUGCAGAGAGAGGGCAGACCUGCCAGGAACUCAGAAGCAGGAGUCCCAACCCCCACUCCCUCUCGUGGAGCCUCGGGCUGGGCGGCCCCUGCAGGCCUCAGUUUACCCCAGCUCUUCCUCCUCGAUGAAGCCGCUCUUGUCUUUAUCCAGGAUGUGGAACACCUUCUUCACAUCAUCCGGGCUCUUUUUCUUCAGGCCCACCAUUUGGAAGAACUUUUUGUGGUCGAAGGAUUCUGCAGCUGUUGGGGGGCAAGGAGUGGGAUAAAAUGAGGACAAAGAGGAGGCAGUGGGGAAGGAGGGGAGAAGGGAGGCAUCUGGCAGCAUCUGUCCAUUGACUCCUCUGUGCCCGUCCUGGGGGACGGAGGGCAUGCGCCUCCACGGGAGGGCUGAGGGACCCCAAACCAGGACGGGGUGCUUUGCCCAAGGUCACACAGCUCGAGGCAGCAGAGGUGGGCUUGCACGCGGAUCUCCCUGGCUCCCAAGCCUGCCCCCACCUUCCUCGGGACCCUUUGCUGAUGGUGGACGUAGCCGUUGAAGGCAGAGGGCUUCCUGGUGUCCACGAAACCUUUGGGUGGUGGCUGAGUGGGAGUGGGCUGGGGAACUGGAGGUGGUGUGAACACGGUGUGUGUGUGGGGGGCGUGGGGAGGGUCGACCUUUUUUCUUGGCCACAGAUUGUGUUGCCAGAAAAUUGACACAGAAAGGACAAGUUUCUUUCAAGGUCACACAGUGGGAGGAGGAGGGGGAGGACCCAGAACUCCUAGUUUGCUGUAGAAAUCCAUUCUGGUGGGAGUUGGGGGUGGGGGGGGGGUGUUGGAAGGCUCCCCAGGAAUUCCAAGUUAAGUUUCUUCUCAAAGGGAGGAAGGUGGGUUAUAGAGAAGUGGGUGGGCUAUUGCAGCCCCCUUGGAGGGGGAGCCAGGCAGAAAGAAAAUGAGUCCCUCUCCCCAAUUUUCUGUGUCCUGAGAUCCUUUAUAAGAACACCUGGGAACAGGCACAAUGUUAGACGGAGUAGCGUAUGUGAGUAGGGGAGGGGGUCAUGUUCUCCCUUCAGCUCCAGGCUGGAUGUAAGGAAAGUUGCUCUGACGCUAGGGUGGGGGACUACGACCCCCAUCCUAAUCCCCCUUCUGCAGAGCUAGGUGACCUUGGGCAAGUUUUUAGCCCUCUCAGAGCCUCAGUUUCCCCCUCCGGGUGAUGGGAGGCAGGAGGAAGGUAGGCAGCCAAGCGCUCAAGCCCAGAGCAGCUCACAGAGGUGAGACUGCCGGCUCCGCUGCCUCGGCUGCCUAAGGAGGCUGAAGGUUACAAGCGCUAAGGAUGCCCAGCACGGGGUCGGGCAGAGCAGAGGGCCAGCUGUCGGAAGGUCACCUCGCUCGUGGGUCCGUUUGGGGAGGGGGGACUCUGAGCCCCAAAGAGGAGGCUUGGACAGUUGGGGAGCCAGCAAAGGCCACCGUUGGGGGAGCAGAGUCCUGUCUAGAAUGGGGGUCUUGGAAGGGGGUCGCUUGGAGAGAAGGUGUGCGCACCUGCAGCCCCCUCCAAGGGCCUUAAAGGGGAAGUCCCGAGCGCUCACAGGGACCCGGAGACCCUGCUUUCCACCCUGGUCUUCGCCCUUGGUCGGGGACCCCAGUCCUCGCAGCGUGGGCACCCAGCCUUCGGCGCCUGCAAGUUUCGGUCUUCUGGUAGGGCACCGGGCCUCCCUGCCUCCUCCCUGGGCCACGUCCCGCCCGGUCCGAGUUGGAAAAUGCUGAGGACCCCCCUCCCAGCCCGGCCAGCGCCCCGCGGGAUACGUGGGCAGAGGAGCGCUGGGGAGGACCGCACGUCCGCGCAGCCCGCGGGGGUGCGGGGGCCAAGGUGGUGGAUGAGGGAAGGGAGCUGGGGAGGGGAGCGCGCUGCUCACCGGUAAAGGCCCCCACUGCCUUCUUGAUGUCCUCAGCGUGGAGCAAGUCUGUCAUCGACAUCCUGCAACUGUUUGAGCGGGCAGAGCAAGUGUGAAAAGAUUAAAAAGUGCUUUUCUCAUCAUUUCUGCUCAUAUGACCAGCGCUGCAGUGCUGCGCGCCGGGCGCACGCCCGCCGGCCUGGCGCAGAGCCAGGGGGCGCGGGGCUCGGCGCGCAGCCAGAGCUGCUCAGUCCCGCCGAGCCACUGGGCUGCGCGGGCCGGGCGGGCUGGCGUCCCGCGGCCGAUCCUUCCCCGCCCCCGCCGAGGGUCCUCGGGACCCCAGGGGCUGCGGCUGGGGAGCCAGAGCAAGGGGCGGCCUCUGGAAUUUACGGGGCGCCAGCGUCACCAGCCGGGUCUGGAGGGUUCGCCUGCCGUCAAGGGCGCGCAGGAGGCACCGGCUUGGUGCAGCGCAGUCCCGGGUCGACGCACCUCGGAGGAUGUCGCGCCGCUUCUGGGAGGAUACUGACCGGCCGGGGCCAGGCCUGCACCCUCGUGGGCCCCUCGGCCCUGUUCCCAUUCUCUCUCUGCUCCUACCUCAGCCUCGGCUCUUGUCUGUCCUGGAUGCAAAUUUAUGCUGCAAAAUCUGAGCUCUGAGGUCUGGAAACCCGACCCACGGGACGCUGGGAGAGGGUGGCACGGAUAGGCCGGCGCUGCUGGGGCCCCCUGCAGGUGCCCCAUCCCACAUCUGGCCAGGAUGCACGUUCUGAAUCCUGAUUUUUUUAAUUUUUUUUUCCUAUUGCUAGUCUGACUUUUCGAAGAUCUCUUCUCAGAUCCCCCCUAACUACUUUCCUGGUCUCCUGGGCCCCAGAGGAUUGCGCCUGGUCCAGACGCCUCCUGCCCCACAAAGCUUUGAGGGAGGGGGAGGUGGGAAAGACUACUUGGAAUCUCCAUGCAGCCUCACCCCACUUGGAGAGCAGACGGCCCAUGUCUGGGGAGAAGGUGGCACAUUCACUUUUUAGACAACGGAAGCAGAUUUCAUGGCCUGAAUUGCGUCUCUGGGAAACAUGACACUUCCUAAUCUUUGUGCAGCCAGAGACCAAUUGCAUUCUUUCCCACGGUCUCCCAAGGACUCAGGCUGCAACCGGCUGCCUCUAGAGUGUGUGGAGCACUGGACAGGGAGUCAGGAGGCUGGGGUUCUAGAUUUGGGGCUGCACUAAAUCCUUGUGUGACCUUGGGUGGUGACCUUCCCCGUUUCUGGGCUUCUGCCUCCCUCCGUUGUGUUGAUGGUGUUGUGGUCCCUUGUGGUGGAACCUUGAGACCUCAACUCAAGAUGUGGGCAGGCGGUCAGGGGCUGACACUGGUGGCCUUUGGCGGGCUGGAGAGAGCUGCCCAGCUGUCCGUUAGCUCCGGUUGCCCGGCCUUGGCUGUCCACACUGUCUGCCUCGGCUCGGCCCUGGACGGCUGCCCUCCUGGAAACCCUAGGACACCGCUGGCUCAGGCUGUCCCCCUCCCUGUGAGUCAGCUUCUUCAGGCACCAGCCCACCAGCGGCUUCCAAGGCGCCAAGGCUGCAGACCUGGCCUCCCGGCACGAGACCUUCCCCAGACACCUCGGCUGCCCCUGCUGCCCCGACCCCAGCUGGGCUGUUAACUCCAACAUGCUGGGCUUCUGUGCUAUCAUUUCAGCCCCUGGGCUCGGCUCAGUCAAGGCGCCUAGCUGAGGAUCUGUUUCCCCGGGUGAAGGAUCCUUAUUCUACGCUGGUGGGGAGACUGAGGCCAGAGAGAGUCAGUGAAUGGCUUGAGGAUGCACAGCGAGGCACUGGCAGAGAGGGGCCCACUCCCAGGUCGACUGACUUGGAGUUCAGGGACCCGCUCCCCGGAGCUCCUCCCCAGGGCUCAGGGCGCAGCCCCAUCAAGUCCCACGUGUCUGAGCCACAGACGAGCUCCUGGAGAGUCCCAGACAGGGGCCCCUGUGGCAACGGCUGGAGCCUCCACAGAGGCGCGUCCUUCUCCCUCCUUCGUCCAUCUCUCCCUGCUGCCUUCCAUCAACUGGACGCUUUCAGGCCCCAGUCCAUCCACCAAGUGUCAGACAAUAUUGUCAGCUCAACCGUCAGCCCUGCACACUCCUUCCUCCUGCCUCCUCUGCCCACUCAGCUCGUGGGCCCCCUCUGAUGGCAUCACCGGAGUCCACAGAUGUCAGGCUCCAUCCCUCUUGUUCUACAGGUGGGAAGCUGAGGCCCAGCCAGCGGGAGGGAUUUGCCUCAGGUCACCUUGGGAGACAGGAUGGACAGCACAAGAAUCCCGUGCUCUCAGGCCUGGACUCCACAGCUGCCUACCUCUGGGCAUCCCCUCCCCCAGCCCUUGUCUCACUGUCCCUUCCAGCUGGCUUCCUCCCCACUGCCUCCCUGCAUCCUCCUCCAGCCUCCAUAGCUGCCACUCACCUCGGGUGGGGGUGGAGGGCUGGAACUGCACCGGAAGGCUGGGUUGGUGGGAGGUCCUGUUGGGAAGUGAGCCUGGUGGUGGGACGGCCACCUAUAUAGGCUUCUGCUCUGGCUAUUUUGGGAGGUGGCGCUCCCCCCGGCCCGCAGCCCCCUCCCCUUCCGGUGUCAGGUACUCCCCAACGAUGGUGCUGGGUGUCUGUAUCACAUUCGCCCGCCCUGGGCCCAUCAAGCCAGGCCUAUUAAUAACCCUUGGCCCCUGCCCUCCUCCAGCACCCAAAGCUGAAGCUCAGGCGGGGCUUUUCUCUUCCGCGAAGACUUCCAUGACCUCUUUAGACGGCAGUGACGUUUCUGUGCUCCAAAAUCCUGCAAGGAAAGGAAGAGAAAAGCCUCACAGUGCGGGCCUGGUCCCUCGUGCGUGGAUGGGGAGACAGCACAAAGACGUGAGGUGUUACGUGACUUACUACUCAAAGCCUGGACCUGGAGCCGGGAGUGGAUCCAGCUCUUUCAUAAGAUGAUCUGGUGCCUGGCCGACGACUAGCUCUGCAUGUUCUCUGACACGUCCCUUUGUCUCUUUGCGUCUCAGUCUCCCCAUCCAUAAAACGAGCUCAAUCAGGGGCAACCUUUGCUCUGUAGAUGGGCUUGGGGGGCUAUGAACCCGCUGAAAUGAUACGCAAAAUUCACAUAGGUAAACAAAGGCCCAUAGUUUUCACGAGAUUUGCAAAGCAACCUCUGGCGUUGUCUGUCUUGGAUUGGAGAUGACCAUCCAGAGGGUGUGUUUCGAAAAGCAUGAAUGAAUGAAUGAAUGAAUUUAACAAAUAUUUAUUGAGCGUCUAGUAUGGACCCCGCGAGAGGUUUCUCUCCUCAUCCCCAACCUUAGAAAGAAUCU
RNAcentral lists this long non-coding RNA (19212 nucleotides) under Equus caballus (horse). RNAcentral's name for it is "lncRNA (ENSECAG00000043038.2)". The record is from RNAcentral. Lineage: Eukaryota; Metazoa; Chordata; Mammalia; Perissodactyla; Equidae.